RNAcentral lists this ribosomal RNA (811 nucleotides) under uncultured archaeon. RNAcentral's name for it is "bacterial SSU rRNA". It matches the Rfam family "Archaeal small subunit ribosomal RNA", at positions 85 to 879 of the family's 1478-position model. The record is from RNAcentral.
ACGGCUCAGUAACACGUGGCUAAUCUGCCCUUGGGACCGGAACACCCCCGGGAAACUGGGGCUAAUUCUCGAUAGGUGAAGAACUCUGGAAUGAGUCUUUGCUAAAAAGACGUUUACGUUAUGCUCGUAGGCGUCGCCCAAGGAUGAGGCCGCGACCGAUCAGGUUGUUGGUGAGGUAAUGGCUCACCAAGCCUUUUACCGGUGCGGGCCGUGAGAGCGGGAGCCCGGAGAUGGGCACUGAGACAAGGGCCCAGGCCCUACGGGGCGCAGCAGUCGCGAAAACUUUGCAAUACACGAAAGUGUGACAGGGUUAUCCCGAGUGCCGACCGCUGAGGUUGGCUUUUACCCAGUCUAGAAAGCUGGGGGAAUAAGGAGAGGGCAAGUCUGGUGUCAGCCGCCGCGGUAAUACCAGCUCUCCGAGUGGUGUGGAUGUUUAUUGGGCCUAAAGCAUCCGUAGCUGGCCAGGUUAGUCCCCUGUUAAAUCCACCGAAUUAAUCGUUGGAUUGCGGGGGAUACUGCUUGGCUAGGGGACGAGAGAGGCAGACGGUAUUUUCGGGGUAGGGGUGAAAUCCUAUAAUCCCGGGAAGACCACCAGUGGCGAAGGCUGUCUGCUAGAACGCGCCCGACGGUGAGGGAUGAAAGCUGGGGGAGCGAACCGGAUUAGAUACCCGGGUAGUCCCAGCUGUAAACGAUGCAGGCUAGGUGUUUGGACGGCCACGUGCCGUUCUAGUGCCGCAGGGAAGCUGUUAAGCCUGCCGCCUGGGGAGUACGAUCGCAAGAUUGAAACUUAAAGGAAUUGGCGGGGGAGCAC